Molecule: ribosomal RNA, 467 nt
Filed under: uncultured bacterium
Lineage: Bacteria
Description: partial 16S ribosomal RNA
Rfam family: Bacterial small subunit ribosomal RNA
Source: RNAcentral
GACGAACGCUGGCGGCGUGCUUAAUACAUGCAAGUCGAACGGAAAGGCCUCUUUCGGGGGGUACUCGAGUGGCGAACGGGUGAGUAACACGUGAGUAACCUGCCCUUGACUUUGGGAUAACUUCAGGAAACUGGGGCUAAUACCGGAUAGGAGCUCCUGCUGCAUGGUGGGGGUUGGAAAGUUUCGGCGGUUGGGGAUGGACUCGCGGCUUAUCAGCUUGUUGGUGGGGUAGCGGCUUACCAAGGCUUUGACGGGUAGCCGGCCUGAGAGGGUGACCGGCCACAUUGGGACUGGGAUACGGCCCAGACUCCUACGGGAGGCAGCAGUGGGGAAUAUUGCACAAUGGGUGGAAGCCUGAUGCAGCAACGCCGUGUGCGGGAUGACGGCCUUCGGGUUGUAAACCGCUUUCGCUCAUGACGAAGCUUUGUGUGACGGUAGUGGGUAAAGAAGCACCGGCUAACUACGUG